AGGCGGUUAACUCAGCGGUAGAGUGCCACCUUCACACGGUGGAAGUCACUGGUUCGAUCCCAGUACCGCCUACCA
This 75-nucleotide transfer RNA is filed under the name Betaproteobacteria bacterium. RNAcentral describes it as "tRNA-Val". It matches the Rfam family "tRNA". Rfam says of the family: Transfer RNA (tRNA) molecules are approximately 80 nucleotides in length. RNAcentral also lists the same sequence under 4 other names. Lineage: Bacteria; Pseudomonadati; Pseudomonadota; Betaproteobacteria. The record is from RNAcentral.